This 473-nucleotide ribosomal RNA is filed under the name uncultured bacterium. RNAcentral's name for it is "SSU rRNA". It matches the Rfam family "Bacterial small subunit ribosomal RNA", at positions 26 to 523 of the family's 1533-position model. The record is from RNAcentral.
AGAACGAACGCUGGCGGCAUGCCUAACACAUGCAAGUCGAACGCUCUUGGGAUUUCGGUCUCAAGGGAGUGGCGCACGGGUGAGUAGCGCGUGGGAACCUGCCCUGUUGUGGGGGAUAACCGAGGGAAACUUCGGCUAAUACCGCAUGCGCCCCCGGGAGUGAUCCUGGGGGGAAAGAUUUAUCGCAGCAGGAGGGGCCCGCGUCGGAUUAGGUAGUUGGUGGGGUAACGGCCCACCAAGCCUGUGAUCCGUAGCUGGUCUGAGAGGAUGAUCAGCCACACUGGGACUGAGACACGGCCCAGACUCCUACGGGAGGCAGCAGUGGGGAAUAUUGGACAAUGGGCGCAAGCCUGAUCCAGCAAUGCCGCGUGAGUGAUGAAGGCCUUAGGGUUGUAAAGCUCUUUCGCCCGCGACGAUGAUGACGGUAGCGGGAGAAGAAGCCCCGGCUAACUUCGUGCCAGCAGCCGCGGUAA